This 157-nucleotide ribosomal RNA is filed under the name Orbilia sp. 4090. Its description in RNAcentral is "5.8S ribosomal RNA". It matches the Rfam family "5.8S ribosomal RNA". Rfam says of the family: 5.8S ribosomal RNA (5.8S rRNA) is a component of the large subunit of the eukaryotic ribosome. It is transcribed by RNA polymerase I as part of the 45S precursor that also contains 18S and 28S rRNA. Functionally, it is thought that 5.8S rRNA may be involved in ribosome translocation. Lineage: Eukaryota; Fungi; Ascomycota; Orbiliomycetes; Orbiliales; Orbiliaceae. The record is from RNAcentral.
AAACUUUCAACAACGGAUCUCUUGGUUCUCGCAUCGAUGAAGAACGCAGCGAAACGCGAUAGUUAAUGUGAAUUGCAGAAUUCAGUGAAUCAUCGAAUCUUUGAACGCACAUUGCGCCCCUUGGUAUUCCGAAGGGCAUGUCUGUUUGAGCGUCAUU